RNAcentral lists this ribosomal RNA (1010 nucleotides) under Trichopeziza mollissima. Its description in RNAcentral is "SSU rRNA". It matches the Rfam family "Eukaryotic small subunit ribosomal RNA", at positions 68 to 1086 of the family's 1831-position model. The record is from RNAcentral. Lineage: Eukaryota; Fungi; Ascomycota; Leotiomycetes; Helotiales; Tricladiaceae.
AGCAAUCUAUACGGUGAAACUGCGAAUGGCUCAUUAAAUCAGUUAUCGUUUAUUUGAUAGUACCUUACUACUUGGAUAACCGUGGUAAUUCUAGAGCUAAUACAUGCUAAAAACCCCGACUUCGGAAGGGGUGUAUUUAUUAGAUAAAAAACCAAUGCCCUUCGGGGCUCCUUGGUGAUUCAUAAUAACUUAACGAAUCGCAUAGCCUUGUGCUGGCGAUGGUUCAUUCAAAUUUCUGCCCUAUCAACUUUCGAUGGUAGAGUAGUGGUCUACCAUGGUUUCAACGGGUAACGGGGAAUUAGGGUUCUAUUCCGGAGAGGGAGCCUGAGAAACGGCUACCACAUCCAAGGAAGGCAGCAGGCGCGCAAAUUACCCAAUCCCGACACGGGGAGGUAGUGACAAUAAAUACUGAUACAGGGCUCUUUUGGGUCUUGUAAUUGGAAUGAGUACAAUUUAAAUCCCUUAACGAGGAACAAUUGGAGGGCAAGUCUGGUGCCAGCAGCCGCGGUAAUUCCAGCUCCAAUAGCGUAUAUUAAAGUUGUUGCAGUUAAAAAGCUCGUAGUUGAACCUUGGGCCUGGCUGGCCGGUCCGCCUCACCGCGUGCACUGGUCCGGCCGGGCCUUUCCUUCUGGGGAGCCGCAUGCCCUUCACUGGGUGUGUCGGGGAACCAGAACUUUUACUUUGAAAAAAUUAGAGUGUUCAAAGCAGGCCUAUGCUCGAAUACAUUAGCAUGGAAUAAUAGAAUAGGACGUGUGGUUCUAUUUUGUUGGUUUCUAGGACCGCCGUAAUGAUUAAUAGGGAUAGUCGGGGGCAUCAGUAUUCAAUUGUCAGAGGUGAAAUUCUUGGAUUUAUUGAAGACUAACUACUGCGAAAGCAUUUGCCAAGGAUGUUUUCAUUAAUCAGUGAACGAAAGUUAGGGGAUCGAAGACGAUCAGAUACCGUCGUAGUCUUAACCAUAAACUAUGCCGACUAGGGAUCGGGCGAUGUUAUCUUUUUGACUCGCUCGGCAC